GUCCACUCUUGAUGAUGAAGAACCAAUCACCAUCUUUCGGCUGAGUACCUGAUGGACAUCAUGUUUUUACCUGAGAGAGUC
Molecule: small nucleolar RNA, 81 nt
Organism: Sander lucioperca (pikeperch)
Lineage: Eukaryota; Metazoa; Chordata; Actinopteri; Perciformes; Percidae
Source: Ensembl